Molecule: ribosomal RNA, 401 nt
Filed under: uncultured bacterium
Lineage: Bacteria
Description: partial 16S ribosomal RNA
Rfam family: Archaeal small subunit ribosomal RNA
Source: RNAcentral
ACACCGGCAGCUCUAGUGGUAACAAUUUUUAUUGGGCCUAAAGCGUCCGUAGCCGGUUUAAUAAGUCUCUGGUGAAAUCCUGUAGCUUAACUGUGGGAAUUGCUGGAGAUACUAUUAGACUUGAGACCGGGAGAGGUUAGAGGUACUCCCAGGGUAGAGGUGAAAUUCUGUAAUCCUGGGAGGACCGCCUGUUGCGAAGGCGUCUAACUGGAACGGUUCUGACGGUGAGGGACGAAAGUUAGGGGCGCGAACCGGAUUAGAUACCCGGGUAGUCCUAACUGUAAACGAUGCGGACUUGGUGUUGGGGUGGCUUUGAGCUGCUCCAGUGCCGAAGGGAAGCUGUUAAGUCCGCCGCCUGGGAAGUACGGUCGCAAGACUGAAACUCAAAGGAAUUGGCGGGG